Long non-coding RNA from Equus asinus (donkey), 2171 nucleotides. The record is from Ensembl. Lineage: Eukaryota; Metazoa; Chordata; Mammalia; Perissodactyla; Equidae.
CAGAGGGGGAAUGUGAAGCUGGAGGUGCUGUGCCCACUAAAGGCAUUCCAUGUUGCUGCUGGAGGUGUGACAUGACUCGGGGCUCCCUGCCCAUGGAGGGAAUGUUUUUCUCCAGCUUUCCUCUUUGAAACUACUGCUUCCCAAGGAGAAGAGGAGCAAUUUCACCUUCACAGGCUCUAUAUCCUCUGGGCACACUCUUUAUUUUCCUUCCUUCCCUGGCUUCUGUCUCAUCAUUGUCUCCCUUCAUUCACCGUGGACCAUGGCUACCAGACACACACAGAUAAGCUGGGGGCUGAAGUAGCCAUGGAUUUGGGUUGCCCAGCAUGAUUUUCCUCCUGUCCCUUCCUCUGAUAGUGCACCCUGCCCCCUACUUCAGCCACAGUGUGGGCACAUGACCCAGCCUGGACCAGUGCACCAUCCCCUGCUGGUUGCAGAGAUUGGUUCAGAAGUGAGCACAUGACCAAGCCAGGCCAAUCAGAGCCCUUCUUUGGGACGGUUUUGUAGAAACCAAAGGGGAAGACAGCUGCCUGCCUCUGAGAUGCUGGAAGGAUUUGAAUCUGAGGCUGCCUGUGGCCAUCUUUCCUGCCACAUGGAAAAUGACCUGCUGUGAUAAUGGAGAAUAAGCCAACACUCAGGGAACAACAGCACUAAGAGUUCUGGGCUGGAUGAGCCCUGGUGCAAAUAGUUACCCUGGAGUGGAAGUAGACGUGGAACACAGCGCCAAGGAGGAACAUCAGAACUGAGGGAACCAAGCCGGUUUGUGGAUGGUAACGAGACAGCAGGCACUGGGCAAGGGGCACAGCUGGGAGAGUGCAAGAUUAGCCCUGAGCUAACAUCUGCCGCCAAUCCUCCUCUUUUUGCGGAGGAAGAAUGGCCCUGAGCUAACAUCGGUGCCCAUCUUCCUCUACUUUAUAUGUGGGACGCCUGCUACAGUAUGUCUUGGCAAGUGGUGUGUAGGUCUGCACCUGGGAUCUGAACUGGCGAACCCCGGGCCACUGAAGUGGAACGUGUGAACUUAACUGCUGCACCACCAGGCUGGCCCCACAAUAAAGCAUUUUAAAAUGUCUCUUUCAAAAAUUACUUUUUAUCAUCUGUUUGAGAUAUUGUUCAGGAUGAAAUGGUCAAUGUAGAAUUUUUGUAAAUGUUUAAAACGAUCUAAAUAUUCACCAGUUAGGGAAAUGAUUAAUUAUUUUGUACCCAUAUGAUGGAAUACCUUACAAUUUCAAAAGCUGAGGUAGAUUUAUAUGUACAUAAAGUUGCAGAAUUGUGUGAUCACAUUGUAGUUAAAAAUUACAUAUAUGUAUUCGUGUAUAGAUGAGUGUAUAUUUAGACAAAAAAAAAAUGGUCUCAAAGGAUAUUCAUUGUAGUGAAUAAUAUGGUGGCCUUCCCAGCAUCCAUCCCCAUUACCCUAUUGCACAGUUUGGAUGGAAUUGACCCCAUGCCCAACUCCAGAGGUUGGCCCUAUUCAUGGAGCCAACUAGGAAAAUUUCAUCCUUUCUGCCACAGAGAUUAAUUCAAGAAUGGAAACCAACCCAAUCAAUACUUGGCAUUCCCCAGGCCUCAGUGAUGGGUUCAUAAGUAAGCACAUGGCCAAAUUCGGUCCAAUCAGAGUGAAGCCUAGGAUGUUCACUCCAUGGUUGUUGAGUUUCUCUCUCUCUUCCCUCUCUUCCUUUCCUUUCCCUCCCUACUCCUCUCUCUGAUGAAGCAUGUGGCCCUGUAGCCAGCAAUGUCACAAUCACGAGGUGAGCCAGACUUGGGAUGAAGCUGAUGUCUUGGAAGGUAGAGCAAGGAGAGAGAAACGGAGUCUUUGGUGACACAGUUGAGUGACUGAAUUAAACAAAUCCUGAAGCCUGCCCUUCCUCUGGGCUUUGAGAAGCUCUUUACAUUUUCUGUUGAAGAUGGUCAAAUGAAAUGGUGGAUGUGGUGUUGUUUGUAACAGCCAGGCAUUGGAAACAACCUAAAUGUUCAUUCACUCAGAAAAGGAUUAAAUAAAUUAUGAGAACCAGAAGAUUAUCUUCGUUGUUCUAUCCAUUUUGAAUGGAAUUUUCUCCUGCUUGUUAUAUAGUCUUCAUGGACGCAUGCAUCAAACUGUUUGAAGUGUUUAACCUUGGGAAUGGGGUGUUUGUGUGUGUAUGUGGUCAGAGGGCUGAUGGGAGAAAUUCUUUCAUUUG